This 530-nucleotide ribosomal RNA is filed under the name uncultured Acetobacteraceae bacterium. Its description in RNAcentral is "bacterial SSU rRNA". It matches the Rfam family "Bacterial small subunit ribosomal RNA", at positions 367 to 914 of the family's 1533-position model. Lineage: Bacteria; Pseudomonadati; Pseudomonadota; Alphaproteobacteria; Acetobacterales; Acetobacteraceae. The record is from RNAcentral.
GACAAUGGGGGCAACCCUGAUCCAGCAAUGCCGCGUGUGUGAAGAAGGUCUUCGGAUUGUAAAGCACUUUCACUAGGGAAGAUGAUGACGGUACCUAGAGAAGAAGCCCCGGCUAACUUCGUGCCAGCAGCCGCGGUAAUACGAAGGGGGCUAGCGUUGCUCGGAAUGACUGGGCGUAAAGGGCGCGUAGGCUGUUUAUACAGUCAGAUGUGAAAUCCCCGGGCUUAACCUGGGAACUGCAUUUGAGACGUAUAGACUAGAGUCCGAGAGAGGGUUGUGGAAUUCCCAGUGUAGAGGUGAAAUUCGUAGAUAUUGGGAAGAACACCGGUUGCGAAAGCGGCAACCUGGCUCGGAACUGACGCUGAGGCGCGAAAGCGUGGGGAGCGAACAGGAUUAGAUACCCUGGUAGUCCACGCUGUAAACGAUGUGUGCUGGAUGUUGGUUGAUUUAAUCAUUCAGUGUCGGAGCUAACGCGUUAAGCACACCGCCUGGGGAGUACGGUCGCAAGGUUGAAACUCAAAGGAAUUGAC